AUGCUUUACACAUGCAAGUCGAGCGGCAGCGCGGGGCAACCUGGCGGCGAGCGGCGAACGGGUGAGUAAUGCAUCGGAACGUGUCCAUGUCGUGGGGGAUAGCCCGGCGAAAGCCGGAUUAAUACCGCAUACGCCCGAGAGGGGAAAGUGGGGGACCGCAAGGCCUCACGCGAUUGGGUCGGCCGAUGUCCGAUUAGCUAGUUGGCGGGGUAAAGGCCCACCAAGGCGAUGAUCGGUAGCUGGUCUGAGAGGAUGAUCAGCCACACUGGGACUGAGACACGGCCCAGA
RNAcentral lists this ribosomal RNA (288 nucleotides) under uncultured bacterium. Its description in RNAcentral is "partial 16S ribosomal RNA". It matches the Rfam family "Bacterial small subunit ribosomal RNA", at positions 45 to 335 of the family's 1533-position model. The record is from RNAcentral.